GAUGAAGAACGUAGCGAAAUGCGAUAAGUAAUGUGAAUUGCAGAAUCCAGUGAAUCAUCGAAUCUUUGAACGCACAUUGCGCCCGCCAGCAUUCUGGCGGGCAUGCCUGUUCGAGCGUCAUUUCAACCCUCGACCUCCCCUUGGGGAGGUCGGCGUUGGGGACCGGCAGCACACCGCCGGCCCUGAAAUGGAGUGGCGGCCCGUCUGCGGCGACCUCUGCGUAGUAAUACAGCUCGCACCGGAACCCCGACGCGGCCACGCUGUAAAACACCCAACUUCUGAACGUUGACCUCGAAUCAGGUAGGACUACCCGCUGAACUUAAGCAUAUCAAUAAGCGGAGGA
RNAcentral lists this unclassified non-coding RNA (343 nucleotides) under soil metagenome. RNAcentral's name for it is "partial contains 5.8S ribosomal RNA, internal transcribed spacer 2, and large subunit ribosomal RNA". The stretch from base 1 to 120 matches the Rfam family "5.8S ribosomal RNA", at positions 35 to 154 of the family's 154-position model. The record is from RNAcentral.